UUUCCCUUUUUCCGGUUGCUGUUAAGAUUCUCUGUCACUGGUCUUAACAAUUUGAUUAUGACGUGUCUUAGCGUAGUUUUCUUCAUGUUUCUUGGGGUUCCACAAGCAUUGCGGAUCUAUGGGUUUAUGUUUUUCAUCAAAUUUGAAAACUGUCAACCAUUAUGUCUUCAAAUACAUUUCUGUCCCCUCCUCUUCAGAGAUUCCAAAUACAUGUGUAUAUCAGGUCACCUAUAGCUUUACCAUUAACACAGCUCACUACAGUUCUACUCAUCUUUUCAGCCUUUUUUUCUAUGUUUUGAGGGAUAAUUUUCAUUUUUACAUAUUUAAGUUCAUUAAUCUUUCUUCUCAAAUAUUUAAUCUGAUAUUAAUUCUCUCUUUGACAUUGUCAUUCUCAUCUCUAGAGGUUCGACCUGAGUCUUUUCAUAAUUUCCAUAUCUCUACUUAAUAGUUGAUCUUUCCUCUAGGGUCUACAACAUGUAGAAUAAAACUAUAAUGAUUACUUUAAUAUUCUUGUCUAAAACUUCUAACAUCUGUGUCAUUUCUAGGUCGGUUUCAAUUGAUUGAUCUUUUUUCUCCUCAUGAUGAUUAUUUUUGCCUGCUUUUUCACAUACUUCAUAAUGUUUUAUAAAAUGCCAGACAUUAUGGAUUUUACCUUUUGGUAAUUUUAUAAAUAUUCUUGAACUUUGUUCUGGAACAUAGUUAAGUCACCCAGAAAUGGUAUGAUAUUUUCAAGUUUUGCUUUUUAACUUUGUUAGGCAGGACUCAAGCAGAGUUUAAUGUUCAAUCUAACAUUAACUUUCCCCACUACUAAGGCAAAACUCUACUGUGUAUUCUCCCCACUGCCCUGUGAAUUUUAAAGUUUUCACUUUGACUGGUGGGAACAGAAACUAUUCCCAUACCUGCAUGAGCUCUCAUCCAUUUGAGGAGUUCUUUCCCCAACUUUGGGUAUUCCCUCAAAUACAUGUGUUGAUGGUGAUUCCUCUGAAGACGGAUGAAAUUCAUUGGAAUUCUCCUCCCCAGAACUGUGUCCUGUAAACACUAGCCAUUGUGGACUCCCCAAGAGGAGACCUCUGUCUUCUCAACUCAGGGAGACUGCCAAGACCUGGGUUUUCUCUCCCUGACAACAUCCUGGAAACUCUCUCCACGUAGUAAAUUAGGCUUGUUUCAGGGCUCACUUGAUUUGUUUCCCUUCUCUCAGGGAUCACUGUCCUUUGUUUCCUGAUGUCUAGUGUCUUGAAAAUCACACUUUCAGGUAUUUGGCUCAGUACUUAGUGGUUAUAGAUAGGUAAGUAAAUCCAAUAUUAUUACUCUACCUUAGCCGAGAAGCAGAAAUUGAGAUAAUUGGGUUUUUGUUUACUUUCUCCUGUGAUCUUUUUAGUUUCUGUAAUAUAUAAUGUAUGUGUACAUUCAACAAAUCUUUAUCCAAUGCUUACUGUGGACCAGAUCCUAUAGUAGUGUUGGGAAAACAGUGCUCAUCAAGACAGACAUGGCUUGUACUCUAGGAAAUACAUCAGGCAAACCAAGAACUAUAUAAUUACCAUAAUUCAUCAGAUCUAAGAUGGCAUUGCUUGCAAGUUGCACCAUUAUUUUAUAUACCGCUGAAAAUGAAACACACUCACCAAUGAUACUUUUGAGACACAUACAACUGUAAGAUGCAUCCUGAUUUCAGAGAUGUUAAAAUAUUUGGAAACAUAUAUUAGAAAAUCAGGGAAAUAGAGUAAUAAUUAAUUAGUUAUGACAAGAGCUGAAACAGAGAAAUCCAGAAUGCUAGAAGAACAUAUAUCAGAAGGACCUGACUUAGCCUGGAGAAUCAAGGAAGAAUUCCAUGAAGAUAUAGCAUGUGAGCUGAGGUCAAAAAGGUGACCAAGCCUUGGCCUUGUGAAAUUGGGUAGAGGGAAGAGUAUUCUAAGCAGAGCAACCAGAUUAUACCAAGUUGACAAGGUGUGAAGGAGUUUUGCAUUGGCAGGAAACUGAAAGGUCCAUGUACCUCUAGGGUGAAUUUAGGGACUCCAGUGUGAUUUUGGACUUUACCCACAGAGAAACACAAGGCACUGUAGGCUUUAAGAGAAGGAGUUAUAAAAUUAGAUUUGUCUUGUUAAAACAUCACUCUGGCUUCUGGGGGAAGGACGGGCUGAGAAAAGCAAGGACAUCAGGCAGGAGGCAAUUAUAAGAAAGGAGGACCAUAGUAAUGGCAGUGGAGAGCAGGAAAAGUUCUCGAGAAAUGUUUAGAAAGCUGUGUCAAUGAGAUCUGGUGACUGGGUGGUGACAGUGAGGGAGAGGGAGGUGUAAGACUCAUAUUGCUGACAUAGAAAACCAGAUAAAUGGAGAAGCCAUUUACUCCAAUACAGUUCUCUGGAGGAGGAGAAGGUUUCAGAGGAGUAGAUAAUGAGCUCAUUUGGGGCACAAUGAAUGUAACAAGCCUGUACCUUUGAUGGGUUCUGGCUACAAUCAGUACAAAACAACCUUGGGUUGGAAGGAUAUCUGGCAGCUCACUGGUGCGUCAGAAAGGCUAGAGACCCAGUCAUCAAAAACAGACAAGAGGCAAGCAAAGUUCAAGUGAAAACAGCAUGUUGUCAAUGCUGCCAGGGGCUUCCCAAACCCUGAGCCCUUGCCAUCUUAACCCUGGGUGCUCAAUUUCUUCCGUAUCACUGUAAAUAACCUCUGAUUACCUCUGCCCCCCAAAGGCUCAGAGCUCUAGACUCAGAGUUUGAAACUGGCUGAGCUCUAGACUCAGAGUUUGAAACUGGCUGAGAACUAGAAGAGAAAACACCUGUGCCUCUUCCCCCAAAUACAAAGUGUUUUCCAGAGACAGUCUGCUAUGGGGUCUUUAGUUGCCAAGAAUGCAUUUAACAAGAGCUUGUCCAGAACUCAGGAGAGAGGUCUGGGCUGGAGAAGAAAUCUUGGUGUCCUCAGCCUAUGGAGGUGGCAUGCUGAGCCCAGGAGCAGAUGGCAUCACCCAGGAAGAGAAGAUAGAACAAGGAGAGAGGACUGCCCAUGACCAAGCCCGUCACACACUUGUGAGGAAUAAGCGAGUUAAGGCAUGAAAACAACAAUAUCACCAAACAUUUAAUCAGCACUUGUUGUAUAUUAGCACUUAGUAAUUUCAGACAGGUGGGUAUAUUUAGUCCCUGUAUCCACCUCAGCCAGACGUGGAAGUAGAGGUAAUGAUUUUUUUUUAAGUGUUUUCUUCUGGGAUUUUUUUCUCUCUACAUAUACUAGUCUCUGCAAUGUAGACCUGAGUGUAUAUAUUCAGCAAAUCUUUAUCAGGUGUCUACCCACCCUGGGCUAAGCACUUUCAUCCUCACAAACACUGUGUAAGGCAGGUACUAUUAUAAUCACCUCCAUCUUACAGGUGAGGAAAUGAGGCAAUAAGAAGUUUAGGUAACUUGCCUGGAGUCACACACCCAGAUGGUCAAGCUCCAGAGCCAGUGUUCCUAGCCACUAGGCCAUCCUGCCCCCACUAGCUCUAAGAAGUCCAAGGGUAGUAACAGGAAGUGAGGCAAGAGGUCCACAGCCAACGGAUGCAGGAACGGGCUGGGAAAUUGGAAGCUCACUAGGAGGCUCCUGAACAAGGCUCACAGGUCCAAAGUUUAUACCUUUGCAGCUGGCUUUUGGGUGAGUCUGGCAGAAUUAGAGGCCUAUGGAGAUGCAUAGACACCAAACCACUGAAAAUGCCCAUCCAUCUUCUAAUGACAAGCCUGACCCUUAGUGCUCUCUUAAGAUACAACCUCACUGUCUGUGACUUCAGGACACCCUAACAAGUGACUUCAAUGGAAAAAGACUCUGCCCCAAAUCAGCAGGGGCCCCCAGAACUUUGAUGGGGUUUCUAAAGCAUAGCAAGGCACCCUGUUCAGUGGAGCUCCUGAGCCAGAAAGGGUUUUGCCUGCUGACUUCACUUUUUAAUCUCUGCCAAGGGGUACCCCGUGGCCACCACAGGCUCUCCAUCAAGCCAUUUCUGGAAGGAAUUUCCACCAAGAAAAAAAUAGGCCGCUAUGACACAAUACAAGGAUGGGUAAGCCACCAGUGCGUGGUAUGUGUGGUAAUUUUGAAUACUUCCCCUGGAUUAAGCAACUGCCCCCAGCAAGGGUAGGAGCAGGAUAUAAUGCCAAACUAUUUGGGGUGGUUUGACAUGCUGCCCAAAUGCGAGCACAUGACCCUAAAAGAGACACUUUAAGGCUUUUUACCCCCUGCAGGAUUCAAACCUUAGAAAGGUUUGGGCCAUCACAAAAGAAACCUCUCAGCUGCCUACACCACCACCCCAUUCUCGCCAUUCCCCACCCCUUCCCCACAUCUGGUUUCUUACAUAGACCUACUUGGAGUUCUUGGCUAGUUCAUCCCGAUCCUCUCCUGACAGGAUCUCAGAACCUUAGAACUGGAGGGGGCUAUCAGGAAAACGCGCCAAGCUUAUUUUGCAGAUCACCGCUAGCAGAGUGGACUAGAACCUGCGGCUCCGGAACUAAUCUCCUCUCCGUCCUUUGCACUACACUGCCCUCUAGUGGCAUUGAAAGGAAAUUGGCUCUUGGGUCUGCAUCCAGUUUUUAAGGCUCUGACACUUCCUCGGGGAUUUGGGGCUCUAGGCUGUGUCUCUCUCUCUGAAAGUCUCACUCACUCUCUCUUGCACCCAUUUUGACCUCAAGGGGCCUGAUUCCUCCCUGGGAAGGACGAGAGGAAGGGAGACAUCUGUGGAAGGAGGUAAGGUGGAGCUGGCCCUGGUUCUUGGCUAGCAGAGCCCCUGUUCUUGGCAGGAAAAACCAUAUUGCAGAGAGAACCCAAAGAUCUUCUCUGAUAUAAAAAGCUGUGAAGUCACAAGCUUUAAAAGAGAUCUCCAAAGAGAUCUAUUUCCCAGGGUGACCAUUUCUAUUAUUUCAUCUCCUACCCUACAAGGAUCAAAAUCCCAAAUGCCUUUGAAAGCCAGACAAGAAUCCUAAGUGGAUGGAGAUGCAGGAGUGAGUGGGGGAUGGGAACUGUGAGUAUCUAGAGGACACACACAACCUGAAGAGCCUCAGACUCAAAAUUCUAAACACAUCUUUUUCUGGCCAUCCGCAGGUGGGCUCAUUUCACAAGACUCAUAUUUUCAAUUUCCUGCCUUACCGUCAAUUUUCCAGUAAUAUGUACUGAACACUUUCUGGUGUGGUGGGCACCGUUCUCCAUACUGCAGGUGUAGUGACUGUGUUAAAGGUCACACAACUCUGUGAAGUAGGUGUUAACAGCACCAUCUCCAUUAAUAAUGGGAAACCGAGGCCUUCGGCAGUUGUCCCUCUGUCAGACCGUUAGACAGUGGUCUGGCCAGGAUCUGAGCUCAGAUAAUCUGCCUCUAAAACCCAGUUUCUUUACCAUCAGUAUUAUAUACACAGCACAAGUAUGUACAGCUGUAGCCUUGGACAUUAUGGGAUGCCAGCUCUAUCACUAU
This 5410-nucleotide long non-coding RNA is filed under the name Sus scrofa (pig). RNAcentral's name for it is "lncRNA (ENSSSCG00015059613.1)". Lineage: Eukaryota; Metazoa; Chordata; Mammalia; Artiodactyla; Suidae. The record is from RNAcentral.